AGAUUGAACGCUGGCGGCAUGCCUUACACAUGCAAGUCGAACGGUAGAGUAGCAAUACUCGAGAGUGGCGAACGGGUGAGUAAUAUAUCGGAACGUGCCCAGUCGUGGGGGAUAACGUAGAGAAAUUUACGCUAAUACCGCAUACGAUCUAAGGAUGAAAGCGGGGGACUCGCAAGAGCCUCGCGCGAUUGGAGCGGCUGAUAUCAGAUUAGGUUGUUGGUGAGGUAAAAGCUCACCAAGCCGACGAUCUGUAGCUGGUUUGAGAGAACGACCAGCCACACUGGGACUGAGACACGGCCCAGACUCCUACGGGAGCAGCAG
This 321-nucleotide ribosomal RNA is filed under the name uncultured soil bacterium. RNAcentral describes it as "bacterial SSU rRNA". It matches the Rfam family "Bacterial small subunit ribosomal RNA", at positions 26 to 354 of the family's 1533-position model. The record is from RNAcentral.